Lemur catta (Ring-tailed lemur) is the source of this 218-nucleotide long non-coding RNA. RefSeq lists it as uncharacterized. NCBI's taxonomy places the organism in Eukaryota, Metazoa, Chordata, Mammalia, Primates, Lemuridae. The record is from RefSeq and is a predicted model, not a curated record. The transcript is spliced from 3 exons.
GGACGAGUUUUCCAACUUCUCUGCGUCCUUGCCAGGACUUAUUUCCUGUCGUUUUCAAGGCUCAGCAGGUGCCCUGAGCAGAUGAACCACCUGUGUUCCUUGUCUGUGACCAGUGUAAAGCUUAAAUAUGCGUAAAUCCAAGAUGAUGGAAUGGCAACUAGCAGUAUUAUUGGAAAAUGUAAAUGUUGGUGACACUGCAGAAAUACCAAGGAUGUGAC